AUCUGGUUGGUAAAUAUCGAUCGUACUAUCGGCCGGGGUCAGCUUUUUUUGGCAGAAGCAUCGCUGCGCCUUGUUUCAUCCAUGGGUACGCACUAGUACUACUAGUACGGGCAGGGGCAGGGCAGAGGCAGUUGACGCAUCGGCUGUUGAACAUACGUAUGAUGAAUUGUAGAAGUUGCUUGAGAGGAUUGUCAAACUUGCUGAGAUCGUUGAGUUCCAUGGUAAAAUAUCGAAGCUUCUUGAAGAAAUACGUGUCGGAGGCGACGUGCCGAGAAGAAGAAAUUGCUAAAUCUGCGGCUAGCCAUGCCACAACAGGCUAACUUGGGUGGACGCAACUCCGGAUAGACCGGUAGAUGAUAAGGAGACUUUUCUCUUGUAGUUUGAUUUUACGUGAACUAGUUGUUGUGAUUUGUAUGACCGGAGAAUCGGUGAUAUAUCUAGAAUAUCUAAAUGUUCAAUUUAUUUCCAGUGUUGUCAAACCAGUGUUCUCCCAAUUUAUGAAUGAAACCAUUGUGUUUGA
Molecule: long non-coding RNA, 520 nt
Organism: Brachypodium distachyon (stiff brome)
Lineage: Eukaryota; Viridiplantae; Streptophyta; Magnoliopsida; Poales; Poaceae
Exons: 2
Source: RefSeq, a predicted model, not a curated record